Molecule: ribosomal RNA, 260 nt
Filed under: uncultured bacterium
Lineage: Bacteria
Description: partial 16S ribosomal RNA
Rfam family: Bacterial small subunit ribosomal RNA
Source: RNAcentral
GAUCCUGGCUCAGGAUGAACGCUGGCGGCGUGCUUAACACAUGCAAGUCGAACGGGAAUUACUUUAUUGAAACUUCGGUCGAUUUAAUUUAAUUCUAGUGGCGGACGGGUGAGUAACGCGUGGGUAACCUGCCUUAUACAGGGGGAUAACAGUCAGAAAUGACUGCUAAUACCGCAUAAGCGCACAGGACCGCAUGGUCUGGUGUGAAAAACUCCGGUGGUAUAAGAUGGACCCGCGUUGGAUUAGCUGGUUGGUGGGGG